RNAcentral lists this ribosomal RNA (239 nucleotides) under uncultured bacterium. RNAcentral describes it as "partial 16S ribosomal RNA". It matches the Rfam family "Bacterial small subunit ribosomal RNA", at positions 104 to 334 of the family's 1533-position model. The record is from RNAcentral.
CGGGGUGGAGUAACACGUGGGUAACCUGCCUAAAAGAAAGGGGUAACACUUGGAAACAGGUGCUAAUACCGUAUAUCUCUAAGGAUCGCAUGAUCCUUGGAUGAAAGAUGGUUCUGCUAUCGCUUUUAGAUGGACCCGCGGCGUAUUAACUAGUUGGUGGGGUAACGGCCUACCAAGGUGAUGAUACGUAGCCGAACUGAGAGGUUGAUCGGCCACAUUGGGACUGAGACACGGCCCAA